UGGGGAAUAUUGGACAAUGGGGGAAACCCUGAUCCAGCAAUGCCGCGUGUGUGAAGAAGGUCUUCGGAUUGUAAAGCACUUUUGGCAGGGACGAUGAUGACGGUACCUGCAGAAUAAGCCCCGGCUAACUUCGUGCCAGCAGCCGCGGUAAUACGAAGGGGGCUAGCGUUGCUCGGAAUGACUGGGCGUAAAGGGCGCGUAGGCGGCUCACACAGUCAGAAGUGAAAUUCCUGGGCUCAACCUGGGGACUGCUUUUGAUACGUGUGGGCUAGAGUGAGGAAGAGGGUUGUGGAAUUUCCAGUGUAGAGGUGAAAUUCGUAGAUAUUGGAAAGAACACCGGUGGCGAAGGCGGCAACCUGGUCCUUUACUGACGCUGAGGCGCGAAAGCGUGGGGAGCAAACAGGAUUAGAUACCCGUGUAGUCC
Molecule: ribosomal RNA, 424 nt
Filed under: uncultured bacterium
Lineage: Bacteria
Description: bacterial SSU rRNA
Rfam family: Bacterial small subunit ribosomal RNA
Source: RNAcentral